GUGGCUUUGGCUGAGUGGUUAAGGUGUGCGUUGCUAAGGUUCCCGUGAGAGUUCGAAUCUCUCAAGCCUAUA
RNAcentral lists this transfer RNA (72 nucleotides) under Salix viminalis (osier). Lineage: Eukaryota; Viridiplantae; Streptophyta; Magnoliopsida; Malpighiales; Salicaceae. The record is from RNAcentral.